Molecule: ribosomal RNA, 429 nt
Filed under: Acidobacteriota bacterium
Lineage: Bacteria; Pseudomonadati; Acidobacteriota
Description: Acidobacteria bacterium partial 16S ribosomal RNA
Rfam family: Bacterial small subunit ribosomal RNA
Source: RNAcentral
UGGGGAAUUUUGGACAAUGGGGGAAACCCUGAUCCAGCCAUCCCGCGUGUGCGAUGAAGGCCUUCGGGUUGUAAAGCACUUUUGGCAGGAAAGAAACGUCAUGGGUUAAUACCCCGUGAAACUGACGGUACCUGCAGAAUAAGCACCGGCUAACUACGUGCCAGCAGCCGCGGUAAUACGUAGGGUGCAAGCGUUAAUCGGAAUUACUGGGCGUAAAGCGUGCGCAGGCGGUUCGGAAAGCAAGAUGUGAAAUCCCAGAGCUCAACUUUGGAACUGCAUUUUUAACUACCGGGCUAGAGUGUGUCAGAGGGAGGUGGAAUUCCGCGUGUAGCAGUGAAAUGCGUAGAUAUGCGGAGGAACGCCGAUGGCGAAGGCAGCCUCCUGGGAUAACACUGACGCUCAUGCACGAAAGCGUGGGGAGCAAACAGG